This 253-nucleotide ribosomal RNA is filed under the name uncultured bacterium. RNAcentral's name for it is "partial 16S ribosomal RNA". It matches the Rfam family "Bacterial small subunit ribosomal RNA", at positions 524 to 776 of the family's 1533-position model. The record is from RNAcentral.
UACGGAGGGUGCAAGCGUUAUCCGGAUUCACUGGGUUUAAAGGGUGCGUAGGUGGGUCUGUAAGUCAGUGGUGAAAUCUCCAAGCUUAACUUGGAACUGCCGUUGAUACUAUAGACCUUGAAUGCUGUGGAGGUGAGCGGAAUAUGUCAUGUAGCGGUGAAAUGCUUAGAUAUGACAUUAGAACACCAAAUUGCGAAGGCAGCUCACUACCCAGAUAUUGACACUGAGCACGAAAGCGUGGGGAUCAAACAGG